This 936-nucleotide long non-coding RNA is filed under the name Helianthus annuus (common sunflower). RNAcentral's name for it is "hypothetical non coding rna". The record is from RNAcentral. Lineage: Eukaryota; Viridiplantae; Streptophyta; Magnoliopsida; Asterales; Asteraceae.
AUGGUUUCAUCACAUUGUUUCUUUCAUCCACAAAGCAUCUUUAAGUUUACAGCUUUGCAGUCAACACCUUCAAGUUAUGUCAUAUGACCAAAGCAAAAGUUUUUACAUGAUUUACUAUUUUGAUGAAGAAACACAAGAGGGACAAAGAAUUUGUUUGGCUCAAGAAUUUGCGUAUGUGCAGAUGAAGAUCUUUGUUUCUAUUUAAGUUGAUCCAUGAUCUAGCAUACUCGUAUAUGGUGCAAUUAGACACACGGAAGUGGAUUGGAAAAUGGUUCAUGCUAAAAAAGGAUAAGUAAUGGACAUAAACGUCUCAACGAGCCACACGCAUGGACAAAUGCUAUAGGCGGGUUUUCCCAAAUCUCGGCAACCAAUUUCGUCAUCUAGAGCUGCAAUUUUGAAGUCAAGGCUGUUAAUUUCAAGGAACCCUUGGAGUGGUUACAAGUUGCGUCUGAUAGCACUUGGCAUUCAUGGACUAAGUUACGCACCUCUGAUUGGAACUUAUAACCAAUAAAGAAUUAAUGGACUUGCCUUUGAUGUCAAGUUACCAUCUGAUGAAGAUUAAAAAGAACUUACCACUGAAGCAAGUUACCUCUAGUGAAGAUUGAUGAAGUCUCGCUAAUGAAGAAGAGAUGCCACGUAUUAGCCUAUCAUUUGACGAAGACAAUCUGUUAAGAGGAUGUUAUACGUAAUUGUCACUUGUCAAUUUCGUACAUCUCAACAAGAUAACAAAAACAUGAGUCCGCAUUGUUAUUAUCACUUGAUCCCAUAGCUUAUCGUGUCAAGCAGUUGAGUAUGAAUUCGGUGCUUGAACUUAUGUGUGCAAACUUCAGAGGAAAUUUGCAAGCCACCCAACCUAAAAUAUCUAGGAAAUCGUCUGUAAAAUUUGUGACUAGUUUUACAUGAUGUAUUGAAACAUUUGAUUUUGAUUAAUACCUU